AUUGAACGCUGGCGGCAUGCCUUACACAUGCAAGUCGAACGGCAGCACGGGAGCAAUCCUGGUGGCGAGUGGCGAACGGGUGAGUAAAGUAUCGGAACGUGCCCAGUCGUGGGGGAUAACGUAGCGAAAGUUACGCUAAUACCGCAUACGAUCUAUGGAUGAAAGCGGGGGAUCGCAAGACCUAGCGCGAUUGGAGCGGCCGAUAUCAGAUUAGGUAGUUGGUGGGGUAAAGGCUCACCAAGCCGACGAUCUGUAGCUGGUCUGAGAGGACGACCAGCCCCACUGGGACUGAGACACGGCCCAGACGCCUACGGGAGGCAGCAGUGGGGAAUUUUGGACAAUGGGCGAAAGCCUGAUCCAGCCAUGCCGCGUGCAGGAUGAAGGCCUUCGGGUUGUAAACUGCUUUUGUACGGAACGAAAAGGUUUGGCCUAAUAAGCUGAGCUCAUGACGGUACCGUAAGAAUAAGCACCGGCUAACUACGUGCCAGCAGCCGCCGUAA
This 500-nucleotide ribosomal RNA is filed under the name uncultured bacterium. RNAcentral's name for it is "partial 16S ribosomal RNA". It matches the Rfam family "Bacterial small subunit ribosomal RNA", at positions 30 to 523 of the family's 1533-position model. The record is from RNAcentral.